ACUACUUUAUACGUAACUUAUUUUUAAAUCAAUUAGUAUUUUUAUUAUUAUGAGAUGAUAAAAUAUAAAUAGUACUUUAUACGUAACUUAUGUUUUUAAAUCUUUUCAAAAAAAUAAUAAAAUGGACGGUCAAAGUUGUGCACGGAAAAUCAUGGCUGCACUUAAA
This 166-nucleotide microRNA precursor is filed under the name Oryza meridionalis. RNAcentral describes it as "MIR812 microRNA precursor family". It matches the Rfam family "MIR812 microRNA precursor family", at positions 41 to 205 of the family's 205-position model. Lineage: Eukaryota; Viridiplantae; Streptophyta; Magnoliopsida; Poales; Poaceae. The record is from Rfam by way of RNAcentral.